RNAcentral lists this long non-coding RNA (288 nucleotides) under Brassica napus (rape). RNAcentral's name for it is "long non-coding RNA (BNAP_LNC001538)". Lineage: Eukaryota; Viridiplantae; Streptophyta; Magnoliopsida; Brassicales; Brassicaceae. The record is from RNAcentral.
CAGAAUCAAUCUUCCCGUUGAAGUCCACUGUCAUUCGCUGCUGUGUGCCAAGAACCCUAUCAAGCAUCUCUUCAAUCUUGCUCUCUUGAGUAGGCGGCGGUGGCUUCUGGUAGUAGGAACUUCCAUUAUUCAUGUUGUUGUUGUAGUUGCUGUUGUAGGGUUUCUGGUACUGUGAACUCUGAUUGAAAUUUCCCCUAUUUCCAUAGGAAUUUAUGUUUCCACCCUGGUUUCCAGAACCUUGGAAUCCAGUUCCACCAAUAAAGUUCACUUCUUCUUCUUCCCCUGCUC